GACGAACGCUGGCGGCGUGCUUAACACAUGCAAGUCGAACGGAAAGGCCCUGCUUUUGUGGGGUGCUCGAGUGGCGAACGGGUGAGUAACACGUGAGUAACCUGCCCUUGACUGUGUGAUAACUUCAGGAAACUGGGGCUAAUACCGGAUAGGAGCUCCUGCUGCAUGGGGGGGGUUGGAAAGUUUCGGCGGUUGGGGAUGGACUCGCGGCUUAUCAGCUUGUUGGUGGGGUAGUGGCUUACCAAGGCUUUGACGGGUAGCCGGCCUGAGAGGGUGACCGGCCACAUUGGGACUGAGAUACGGCCCAGAAUCCUACGGGAGGCAGCAGUGGGGAAUAUUGCACAAUGGGCGGAAGCCUGAUGCAGCAACGCCGCGUGCGGGAUGACGGCCUUCGGGUUGUAAACCGCUUUCGCCUGUGCCGAAGCGUGAGUGACGGUAAUGGGUAAAGAAGCACCGGCUAACUACGUG
Molecule: ribosomal RNA, 468 nt
Filed under: uncultured bacterium
Lineage: Bacteria
Description: partial 16S ribosomal RNA
Rfam family: Bacterial small subunit ribosomal RNA
Source: RNAcentral